CUCUUAUCAUGUGUGAAAUUAGUUUUGGUAUAGUUUAGGAGUAGUGUCGAUGGACCAGCUGAUCAGGAUAACUCUUAUCAUGUGUGAAAUUAGUUUUGGUAUAGUUUAGGAGUAGUGUCGAUGGGCCAGCUGAUCAGAAUAACUCUUAUCAUGUGUGAAAUUAGUUUUGGUAUAGUUUAGGAGUAGUGUCGAUGGACCAGCUGAUCAGGAUAACUCUUAUCAUGUGUGAAAUUAGUUUUGGUAUAGUUUAGGAGUAGUGUCGAUGGGCCGGCUGAUCAGGAUAACUCUUAUCAUGUGUGAAAUUAGUUUUGGUAUAGUUUAGGAGUAGUGUCGAUGGGCCGGCUGAUCAGGAUAACUCUUAUCAUGUGUGAAAUUAGUUUUGGUACAGUUUAGGAGUAGUGUCGAUGGGCCAGCUGAUCAGGAUAACUCUUAUCAUGUGUGAAAUUAGUUUUGGUAUAGUUUAGGAGUAGUGUCGAUGGGCCAGCUGAUCAGGAUAACUCUUAUCAUGUGUGAAAUUAGUUUUGGUACAGUUUAGGAGUAGUGUCGAUGGGCCAGCUGAUCAGGAUAACUCUUAUCAUGUGUGAAAUUAGUUGUGGUAUAGUUUAGGAGUAGUGUCGAUGGGCAAGCUGAUCAGGAUAACUCUUAUCAUGUGUGAAAUUAGUUUUGGUACAGUUUAGGAGUAGUGUCGAUGGGCCAGCUGAUCAGGAUAACUCUUAUCAUGUGUGAAAUUAGUUUUGGUACAGUUUAGGAGUAGUGUCGAUGGGCCAGCUGAUCAGGAUAACUCUUAUCAUGUGUGAAAUUAGUUUUGGUACAGUUUAGGAGUAGUGUCGAUGGGCCAGCUGAUCAGGAUAACUCUUAUCAUGUGUGAAAUUAGUUUUGGUAUAGUUUAGGAGUAGUGUCGAUGGGCCGGCUGUGAAGGUUGACUGCUAUUAUUUGUUUCCCGCUCAUCAACUUGGACAGAGUCCAGGACAUGUUUUACAUCACUCUAAAGGCCUACUGUAACUCAUAGCAUGUGUUCAUUUCCUUACAAUACAUGUGAUUAGUGUUCGAGUUACAGUCAAUAAAACAGACCCACAACAGUUGAUUUGUGGAAAGUAAAACAUAAAAGAGAAUAUUAUUAACCCACAAGGGGGUGUGGUCAAAUGAUUUGCUGCUGAUAAAUAGGCAUAACACAAACUCAUCAUUACACUUUUGUCUUUCUACAUUACAUCAACCCCUUCAUCCUUCUUAUCAUUCAGUUAGGCCUCAUUUGGGGACGACAGGUAACCUAGUGGUUAGAGUGGAGGGGCGGCAGGUAGCCUAGUGGUUAGAGUGUAGAGGCGGCAGGUAGCCUAGUGGUUAGAGUGUAGAGGCGGCAGGUAGCCUAGUGGUUAGAGUGUAGAGGCGGCAGGCAGCCUAGUGGUUAAAGUGUUGAGCCAGUACUUGAAAGGUUGCUGGAUCGAAUCCCUGAGCUGAGAAGGUAAAAAUCUGUCGUUCUGCCCCUGAACAAGGCAGUUAACCCACUGUUCCUAGGCCGUCUUUGAAAAUAAGAAUUUGUUCAAAAACUGAUUUGCCUAGUUAAAUAAAGGUAAAAACGUAUAUUAUCAUAUAAGGUGCACAAUUACGGCCCAUUUAUUCAGUGAGGAAAGGGAGACUCAUUAGUGGCUGGCUGGGUACCAAGGUCCAACAGCACAUUGUCUUGGUGGGCAGGUAGUAGGUGGGAAAUAAACUGGUCAAAAGGAUCUUUUCUCUUCUUGAUUUCAAAAUUCACACAAAUGAGCAGUGUAAAAUACAAACAUUUAGGAGGAGCAGGACUGAUUCUAGUGUUAAAAGUCAGGGAGCAGGACUGAUUCUAGUGUUAAAAGUCAGGGAGCAGGACUGAUUCUAGUGUUAAAAGUCAGGGAGCAGGACUGAUUCUAGUGUUAAAAGUCAGGGAGCAGGACUGAUUCUAGUGUUAAAAGUCAGGGAGCAGGACUGAUUCUAGUGUUAAAAGGCAAGUCCUGCACUUUUCAACCUCAUAUUCAUCCUCUCCAGCACCAAAACAGUAUCUAUAUUUCUGAAAACAGCACCUUUCACAUUUUUAUGAUCUGUAGUUAAAAAAAAAUGAGAAGAAAACUCUUUAAAAACGGUGAUUUUCAAAACCUGCAAUGAGUUUCUAGCCCAGUAGAGGACAUUUUAUUGCUCCCCACACCACUGACAAUCUAAUUGUGUUUGAAAAAUCACUGCUUUUAAAAUCAUUCAACUUUUGAUGAUGUCAUCAGGUAGAACUUUUUAACUUCAUAUUUUUUCUACAAAACUUAGAAAUGCACCAUUUUCACAUCUGAUUUUAUUUUAUUUUUACGGCUGCAUUUGUACCUUUUUUAAAAGUAUUUUGUUUAAAUAUAAUUUGCCUCCACAACAACAUGAAUACCUGCAUACUUUCACAUACAAACCAGAGGAGGCUGGUGGAGGAGCAAUAUGAGGACAGGCUCAGUGUAAAGACUGGAAUGGAAUACAUGGAAUUAAUUUAUUUAUUCCAUUUCAGCCAUAAAAAUGAACCCGUCCUCCUAUAACACAUCCCACCAGCCUCCUCUGAAUGUCUCUGUUCUGUUAAAAGAGAAGUGGAGAAUACCACAUAUUGUUUCUGUUGUAUCUAAAUGUAUCUACAUUAAACCACAUGUUUUGUUCUUAAGACUGAUGGGGAAGAGUGGAGUGUAAAGGAUUUUGCAACACUACUGUAGUUAGCGCAACCUUGUGACUCUGUUAUGGCUAGGGGGCAGUAUUUUCACGGCUGGAUAAAAAACGUACCCGAUUUAAUCUGGUUACUACUCCUGCCCAGUAACUAGAAUAUGCAUAUAAUUAUUGGCUUUGGAUAGAAAACACCCUAAAGUUUCUAAAACUGUUUGAAUGGUGUUUGUGAGUAUAACAGAACUCAUAUGGCAGGCAAAAACCUGAGAAGAUUUCAUGCAGGAAGUGGCCUGUCUGACAAGGUGUCGUUCUUCUUGUCUCUGUUUAUUGAAGAGUGAGGAUCUUAGUGUCCCGUGACACUUCCUACGGCUGCCAUAGGCUCUCAGAAGGCGGCAAAACGCUGAAUCGUGGCUUUGCAGGCUCUGGCUGAAACAAAGUAGCGCGUUUGGGUAGUGGCUGGUUACAGUACUGUGAGACUCAGGCUCGUGCCCGCGUCGACCGAAAGCUUUGUUUUCUUUCCUCUGUUUAGCUAAAUGGACAUUCCCGGUCUGAAUAUUAUCGCUUUUUUACGAGAAAAAAUGGCAUAAAAAUGGAUUUUAAACAGCGGUUGACAUGCUUCGAAAUACGGUAAUGGAAUAUUUAGAUUUUUUUUGUCACGAAUUGCGCCAUGCGCGCGACCCUGAUUUACCAUUUCAGAUAGUGUCUGGGACGCACGAACAAAACGCCGCUAUUCGGAUAUAACGAUGGAUUAUUUUGGACCAAACCAACAUUUGUUAUUGAAGUAGCAGUCCUGGGAGUGCAUUCUGACGAAGACAACAAAAGGUAAUCAAACUUUUAUAAUAGUAAAUCUGAUAUUGGUGAGUGCUAAACUUGCCGGGUGUCUAAAUAGCUAGCCCGUGAU
Molecule: long non-coding RNA, 3547 nt
Filed under: Salmo salar (Atlantic salmon)
Lineage: Eukaryota; Metazoa; Chordata; Actinopteri; Salmoniformes; Salmonidae
Description: lncRNA (ENSSSAG00000120515.1)
Source: RNAcentral